GGGACACGUGGUAUCCUGUCUGAAUAUGGGGGGACCAUCCUCCAAGGCUAAAUACUCCUGACUGACCGAUAGUGAACCAGUACCGUGAGGGAAAGGCGAAAAGAACCCCGGCGAGGGGAGUGAAAAAGAACCUGAAACCGUGUACGUACAAGCAGUGGGAGCACGCUUAGGCGUGUGACUGCGUACCUUUUGUAUAAUGGGUCAGCGACUUAUAUUCUGUAGCAAGGUUAACCGAAUAGGGGAGCCGAAGGGAAACCGAGUCUUAACUGGGCGUUAAGUUGCAGGGUAUAGACCCGAAACCCGGUGAUCUAGCCAUGGGCAGGUUGAAGGUUGGGUAACACUAACUGGAGGACCGAACCGACUAAUGUUGAAAAAUUAGCGGAUGACUUGUGGCUGGGGGUGAAAGGCCAAUCAAACCGGGAGAUAGCUGGUUCUCCCCGAAAGCUAUUUAGGUAGCGCCUCGUGAAUUCAUCUCCGGGGGUAGAGCACUGUUUCGGCAAGGGGGUCAUCCCGACUUACCAACCCGAUGCAAACUGCGAAUACCGGAGAAUGUUAUCACGGGAGACACACGGCGGGUGCUAACGUCCGUCGUGAAGAGGGAAACAACCCAGACCGCCAGCUAAGGUCCCAAAGUCAUGGUUAAGUGGGAAACGAUGUGGGAAGGCCCAGACAGCCAGGAUGUUGGCUUAGAAGCAGCCAUCAUUUAAAGAAAGCGUAAUAGCUCACUGGUCGAGUCGGCCUGCGCGGAAGAUGUAACGGGGCUAAACCAUGCACCGAAGCUGCGGCAGCGACACUAUGUGUUGUUGGGUAGGGGAGCGUUCUGUAAGCCUGUGA
Molecule: ribosomal RNA, 834 nt
Filed under: Escherichia coli
Lineage: Bacteria; Pseudomonadati; Pseudomonadota; Gammaproteobacteria; Enterobacterales; Enterobacteriaceae
Also listed under: 1 other name
Description: partial 23S ribosomal RNA
Rfam family: Bacterial large subunit ribosomal RNA
Source: RNAcentral